UUAUUUGUUUUACUUUGGGAAUCGACCAGUUGAAACAGUUCGUGACGCCAAAAAAAAAAGAGAGAGAGAGAGAACAAUUUAACGGUCCACCAAUUCGCGUCCUCGACCAUUUCCAAAUUUCGAAACUAUCUCAAGAUGAAGCCCACCCACCGAACUUCCAGGCCGCGGAGCCAGGCAGCCAUGCACCGCCGCGGCGAGGCGAGCCACCGGGGCCAGAGCUCCUCCCGCUGCCGAGGCUAGCGAGGACGACGCUGCCCCGAUCAUUGGCACCUGCCACUGCCACCCUCCGUGCUCGCGUCAGCGCUAGCAGCCUAUUCGGCGAAGGCCGCGACGGCAACAGCCGGAGCCGGCGGGGCGAUGUACCCGUGGCGCCAACGCGCACCACCUGUUCGACGAAAUCACUCGUUCGCGUGGCGCUUGAGCUCAUGGCUACCGUGGUUCCCGUUGCAGACGGCAGACCAGGAAGGAAGGGAACUGGCGCAGAGGGACCUCGCCGUGGUGGAGUGGGUGGGCGGCGACCCCGCGCGCACGUCUCCUUCAAUUCCCUCGCCGUCAAGAAGGUGAGCCGUCCCUUUUGCGAUUGUCCCCGCGUUUGUUCGUGCCGAUGAGUGAGGAGUUUGCUUCCUUGCUUGCUGGUACCUUCUGCCUGUAUGUGCUCGACUGCUUGUAGUCUUCUCCCAAUUCAAAUGGCCUGAUGAGUGAUGACUAGCUUGGCCUUGGCCCUUCCAUGUGGUAGUUGGGUUAGCGCCUGCUCUCUGUGGAUGUUUGUCGCUGGAUGCAUAUGUUCAUGUACUUUUGCUUAGAGGGAGUUCCGUCAGUCCGUCACGUGUGCUAGCUGGACGGAACUGGCGAGCUCUUCAGGGCAAAACGGAGCUGGAUUGCUAUUAUUGAUGAGAGCGUGUUGAAGAUGUUGGCCCUACAUUUUAGUUAGACCGGUGUUUCCUUUUUGCUUGGGAUUCCCUCUUUUUCUAGUAAGUUUCCGGAUAAAAGACAAUCCUGUGUUCUUGAAUGGCCCAAACGGAAGGUCGGCGAGGAAUAGGAUCGAUAACUUGUAAAAAACAAUCCCGCUUAACUUAAUUUUUCAUCACAUUUGCAGAGAAAGAAAGAAGUUUGCGAGUAGAUGGUGCCAUGGUGGUGACUGAUAAAUCAGUAGAGCCUUUCUGUAUCAGCCUCGGAGGCUAUCUUUAGGCAAACAGAGUUUUUGUCUCCUCAAAUGAUGAUAAAACUAUAGACCCCCCUGUCCUACAUCCUUGUGGUCCUUAUUAGCUGCUAAAAUUAUAAUGGUAACAUUGGAAGAAUUUAUUAUACCUGUCGAUCCAGAUCUGAGUUUCUCGUGCCGCCAUGAACUGUGAGUCAAAUGAAGCGUGCCAACAUGAUGGCUAGAAAUUCGUAGAUUGUGUUGAUGUAUUCUACAAUAGUAAAAUGAUCCCAUUUAUGAAUCACAUGGUAUAGCUGAUUUAUCAAUUGUAAAACAUUGUUUCAGGCAGCCAUUUAUGCUUUUGUAUUUGUCUGAAUAAAUGAUAUACUUAAGGCAUCCUUAAGUUUUUUUAUAUUCAUAUUCCGAUGAAAACUUUUUUCUUAUAAAGGGUUUAAUCCUUUUCCUCUCAAUAGCAACAACUAAGUAUUCUGUGAAUUCCAUUUUUUAUAAACCCUGCUUUCAUGCUAGUCCUGCAGAAUUAUAUCUUCCACAAAUGUAAUGGCAUCAGAUAUACGCUCUCUGCUGGUUUUGUGAGAAAAAAUGGAUUAUCUAUUGCAUUUACUGGAUUCUUCAGAGUAUCUAUAUGGAUUUCAUCUUUGAUAGGGCAAGUCUAUAAGACAAGACCUCAGUAUGCAGAACAUAGUGUAUAAUGAAGCAGUUCAAAUACGUGAGGAUGUGGUACAGUCCUUUGUGAAUUCCCUUUAUUGCAUCAACCAUGUUUUAUAAUUCUUGGUUGUCUUGUUCUUCUUGAAGCUUCAAUUUUGAAAUUGAACUUAUAGAGGUUAAUAUGAUUACCCUUGAAGCUAAGUUUGGGGAGGUCAGAUAGCAGUUUCACGUUAUUCAAAAACCACAUUUCAUUCAGUUUAAGUUAGAUUUUCUGCACUCUGCAAAUCAAUCUUAAUCUACCUCUUCUUUCCUUGAAGGAAUGUUGCAAUUUUUUAAUUAUGUUGACCAAAUGAUCACUCUGUGCUCAUGGUAUCAGGCAGAUAACUAGACAUGCUCAAAUGAUUGUUUAGGUUUCUCUUUUGUUCCUAAUUUAGGAGUGAAUGUUUUUUCUCUGAACUAUUGUUUAAUUGGUGAUAAUUUCUGUCAGGCAUUUUUGCCAUCAGUUUUUACCCAUUUAGUGGUCUUUUUUUUUGGCACUGUUAAUUUUGCUGUGUUGCUGGCAUACAAUUAUUUUUCAGCUGGAGGAAUAUCAUGCUUCCAGUGUAAACUUAUAUUGAAGUAUGCGACAUCAAUCAAAGCUUUAUCUAAUAUACCUGCUUACUUUCCAGGUAACGUUUCACAUUAGGUCCCAUCAAAGAUUUGCUCAGUCUUGCCAGGGUUCAGAUGCAUCUUCAUUGUAUUUCCUAAGCAUGGAGAAGUUAACAAAAUGCCUGCUUUCUCAGUUUUAUUUGUAUCACUCAAUCCAUGAGAGUGAUUCCCACAGCAAAAGAGGGGUCGAAUAUUUUCCUUCUAUGUGCUUCUGCAUUUGGGCUGCUUUCAAGAUUUCAUUUCACAGCAGUCUUAGAAACGCUGAAAUGAAACCGGCUAUUGGGAAUGGCCUUACCUUCUAUUGCCAUUUUAGCUUCACGAAUAGAACGCACUUUGUUCUUUAUGCACAACUUUUUUUCAAAAACGUGCAAAUGCACGUGCUUCAUUAAGGAGUAAAAAAAGAAGAGUUAACAAGGAGUUGGUCAA
This is a long non-coding RNA of Panicum virgatum (switchgrass), 2878 nucleotides long. RefSeq lists it as uncharacterized. The record is from RefSeq and is a predicted model, not a curated record. Lineage: Eukaryota; Viridiplantae; Streptophyta; Magnoliopsida; Poales; Poaceae. The transcript has 2 exons.